UACAGAUGUCCCGAGCGUUGUUCGGAUUCACUGGGCGUAAAGGGUGUGUAGGAGGCAUGGCAAGUCAGCUGUGAAAUCUCCAGGCUCAACCUGGAAAUUGCAGCCGAUACUGCCAAGCUAGAGGAUCGGAAGGGCAAGCGGAAUUCUCGGUGUAGCAGUGAAAUGCGUAGAUAUCGAGAGGAACACCGGUGGCGAAGGCGGCUUGCUGGACGAUUCCUGACUCUGAAACACGAAAGCUAGGGGAGCGAACGGG
This 253-nucleotide unclassified non-coding RNA is filed under the name uncultured Verrucomicrobiota bacterium. RNAcentral's name for it is "uncultured Verrucomicrobia bacterium contains 16S-23S intergenic spacer region". It matches the Rfam family "Bacterial small subunit ribosomal RNA", at positions 524 to 776 of the family's 1533-position model. The record is from RNAcentral. Lineage: Bacteria; Pseudomonadati; Verrucomicrobiota.